Molecule: long non-coding RNA, 318 nt
Filed under: Cyanistes caeruleus (blue tit)
Lineage: Eukaryota; Metazoa; Chordata; Aves; Passeriformes; Paridae
Description: lncRNA (ENSCCEG00000010718.1)
Source: RNAcentral
AUGGCAUUUCUCCUUGGGGCUGAUCAGCACAGCACAAUUACAGGGAAAGAAAAUGUUCCUGUGUUUGCACAAUCAACGAGACCUUUAGAAAUAAGCUUUCUGCCAGCCAAGGAAAAGUUUCAAUGGCACACACUCUGCAGCCUCAGCCAAGCAACACUCUGUGGUAGGAUUUCUGCCAUGAUCAAAGGGCUACACUGGAAAUACCUCUUUCAGAAUGAUCAGUGCUAUAUUUUUGCCAAGGAACUGAAUGCGAUUUCUGCUCCACUCUUUGUCUACAGCAGCUCUAAUUUAAAAGGAAAUCUUUCAAUUACCAGAUGA